This 346-nucleotide long non-coding RNA is filed under the name Prunus persica (peach). RNAcentral describes it as "long non-coding RNA (PPER_LNC000687)". The record is from RNAcentral. Lineage: Eukaryota; Viridiplantae; Streptophyta; Magnoliopsida; Rosales; Rosaceae.
AUUUUUAAAUUUUUAAAAAUAAAUUUACCCUUUUAUAAAAUGACUUCUAAGGACUUGGAGCAUCUGCCAAUAAGCUCCCUUAACCACUUUACAAAUUUUAAGGAAUAAUUGGAAAAAAAAAAAAGAAAAAAAGAAAAAAAAGGGGGUCUUUAUUAAUAUACCCAAAAUAGUGGUGAAAUUAUUAUUUUAAAAAAAAACAGGGAAUGCACUUUAGAAACACACCCAAAACUCAUUAAUUAUAUAAGAAAUUAGUGUUUAAGUUCCUAUAAAUGAUGUGACUGCCAUUGAAAGAAGUCCAACACAAAAAAACUUCAAAAAAUCCAAAACAAGCCCAACCCAAUUUUAU